ACAACACACAGAAAAUAAUUCAGCUAAAAUUUGAACAUUUGAAUAAUUAUUUUUUUAAUUUUUGGUUUCUUAAAUAGACAAAUUAUUGUCAUGUAUUUAAAAACUAUACUAAUCUUUUGUUCAGUAUGUUUUUUUACCGACACAAUGAGCAAAGGACUUAAUGCAAUCCAAAUACAAGCUUUUACAUUAUUGCUAUACAAAUUUAAUAAACACAGAACAGUUAAUGCUUUAUCAAAAAGCAAUACGAUUAUAACGAAGAAGAUCUCAUAAACGUAAGAAUUUUCAAGAUUCUGAAAUUUUUGGUUAGUGAAGACAAGUUUGGCGAUACCAAAAGCGUAGAAAACCUGAAUAUAAAUGAGGUUGAAAUAAUUUCAAAUAAAUUUUGUAAUCUUGACACAGACAACAAUUGUUUUAUAAAUAAGGAAGGAUACAAUACUUUGAUUGAUUUUGUUGGCGAAUGUGCUCUUACUGGAAGUGUAAAUAUAAAAACACUGGACGACAAAAACAUUGAAAAUCUCAGAGAGUAUGUGAUUGAUUUGAAGAAAACUUUACAAUCACAAUACAACUUAAGUGAUGUUAUGUUAUAUGUAUUACUAUUAAAGGCAAAUUUUAAUAAAACAGAUUCUGGUAUACUUGAAACAUUGAAUCAUUUCGAGAAUAUAUUUUAUUCUAUCUCAAUGGAUUAUAGUGUAAACGAGAUAGAUAUACAAUAUCAUAUGAAUUAGAUGGAUCAUAUACGUGAUAAAAUAUUAUUUUGUUUAAAUAUACUAACACUCAUGUUUUUUAGCUAUAACUUCAAAUCUUCUAAAAUUAUAAAAAGUUGUAAUCCCUAUA
Daktulosphaira vitifoliae (grape phylloxera) is the source of this 834-nucleotide RNA transcript. RefSeq lists it as uncharacterized. The transcript is spliced from 6 exons. The record is from RefSeq and is a predicted model, not a curated record. NCBI's taxonomy places the organism in Eukaryota, Metazoa, Arthropoda, Insecta, Hemiptera, Phylloxeridae.